AAACUGAAGAGUUUGAUCAUGGCUCAGAUUGAACGCUGGCGGCAGGCUUAACACAUGCAAGUCGAGCGGAGCGAGGGUGCUUGCACCUUAGCUUAGCGGCGGACGGGUGAGUAAUGCUUAGGAAUCUGCCUAUUAGUGGGGGACAACAUUCCGAAAGGAAUGCUAAUACCGCAUACGCCCUACGGG
This 186-nucleotide ribosomal RNA is filed under the name Escherichia coli. RNAcentral describes it as "partial 16S ribosomal RNA". It matches the Rfam family "Bacterial small subunit ribosomal RNA", at positions 1 to 186 of the family's 1533-position model. Lineage: Bacteria; Pseudomonadati; Pseudomonadota; Gammaproteobacteria; Enterobacterales; Enterobacteriaceae. The record is from RNAcentral.